CAAUAGCGUAUAUUAAAGUUGUUGCAGUUAAAAAGCUCGUAGUUGGAUUUCUGAUCGAGACAUCAGGUCGGGUCCGAGAGGAUCAUGUACUUUGAUUUUGUUUUGAUCAUCCUUGGGGAGAGCAUUUCUGGCAUUCAGUUGUCGGGAUUGGGAUCCUCAUCGUUUACUGUGAAAAAAUUAGAGUGUUCAAAGCAGGCCUCGGCCUCUGAAUACAUUAGCAUGGAAUAAUAAGAUAGGACUUUGGUGGUCUAUUUUGUUGGUUUGCACGCCAAAGUAAUGAUUAAUAGGGAUAGUUGGGGGUAUUCGUAUUCAAUUGACAGAGGUGAAAUUCUUGGAUUUAUGGAAGACGAACUACUGCGAAAGCAUUUACCAAGGAUGUUUUCAUUAA
Molecule: ribosomal RNA, 388 nt
Filed under: uncultured eukaryote
Lineage: Eukaryota
Description: partial 18S ribosomal RNA
Rfam family: Eukaryotic small subunit ribosomal RNA
Source: RNAcentral